GAGUUGCCUUUGUAUGCUGGGAGGACCAAGCCGGAGGUUCCCACUAUGAGCCCGGAGUCUGUGCAGCCAGAUGACGCAUGAGCUCUAUUCAAAAUACCCAAGAUUUGGAAGCAACCUAAGUGCACAUCAGCAGACAAAUGGAUAAAGAAAAUAUGGUACAUAUACAAAAUGGAGUACUAUUCAGCUGUAAAAAAGAAUGAGAUCCUGUCAUUUGCAACAACAUGCAUGGAACUGGAGGUCAUUAUGCCUCUGCCUCUGAAUGUGAAGGGAAACUGGACCAGCUCAGUGUCAAGCCUACAGACAUUUCCUUGUUCCUGGGGACUGAGCAGUUUGAAGUUUCCAAAGAUGAAAACAUCUACUCUGAAGAGACCUGAAUGGACAAGAGAUGUUUUCCUCUUCCUUACCGUAAUAAAAGAGGACUGCUCCUGACCACAGGAUAUGCCUGGUCCUGGAAAUGGCCACAUUUCCCCCCUCAGGACCUCUACUUGGAUGGGUUGUCUUGGAAAUAAGUAUACUGGAUUGGAAUCUGAUGUCUGCUGAGGAAUGGAGAAAGACCACUGGUGAUUCCUCCAUCCUCACUACUGUGUCCCUCCUUGCAUUGCAAGUGCUUUACAAGUCUUCCCAAUAGACCAUGAGCAUCCUGAGGGCUGGUAUCAAAUUUAACUCAUCUCCUAUCCUCAGUGCCUCAUACAAGAUGCUGGAUGUAGGGGAAGUUUAGAAGCUCAAACUGAGGCAGAAUCACAGCGAUUUGGAAAAUGGUCCAAUCAGCUAUAGUGGAAGAGCAGAAUCAUUGAAUAUAAAACAUGGAGAUGUCAGCAGCAGGGGCUGUGAGCUGAACAGCUUCACUGGGAAGAGGAUAUGGGUGAGAAGGUACAGCAAUGGGUACCUCCAUUAACAGGUAAGCUGGAUCCUCAAUAGGAAUAGGCACUAGCUGGUUUUGGAUGAAGGUGUCGUAAGAUCAGAUACACUUUUGAGUGAUCAGCAUGAUCUGGGUAUGGACAUGGCAGAGCAGGUGGAAGGGAAGGGACCAAUAUGUGUCAAUAACCAUCUAUGAGCCAGGGACUUACCGGGAAGUAUAAUGUCUUUGUAGUUAGACAGACCAGUAGUGUCUGUUGCUCUGGAGGAAAUUACUUAAACUCACCAAGACUCAGUUUUCUCUGUAUUAAAAUGAUGACACCUACCUCACUAUCUGGCCAUUGGGAUUAAAUAUGAGAAUAUAUGUGAACAUUUAUGUCAUAUGGUAAGCACUCAGAUGUUUCCUGGUGGAACAGCAUGGUGUGGAUUAGGAACAUCCAAACUCUGACAUCAAGCUGAACUUUUGAAAUAGAGGCCUCCCUGCUCACUAGUUGGGUAACCUUGAACAAGCUAGUUAAACUAUCUAGAGCUCAGUUUUGUUAUCUGGUGAGAUUAAUAGCAUUGAAUGGUGUAAAGCACAUUCUCAGUAAAUGCUCAUUAUUAUGAUUAUAGUUAUUAAUGUUUAUUUAACUUUGAAAUAAUAAUGUGUAGGAGCUCCUCAGGUAGAUAAUGGAAAUAAGAAAUUUCUUAGGUCAUGGAAGCAUGGAGGUAUGGAAAAUUUUGGAGAACAAAGAGGAGUCUGGUGAAGUAGGGUGGGGAUACUGGGCAGAUGCAAAGAUUGCCAAGGGUUAUAUCAUAAAGGCCGGGAUACCGGCCUGGCAUCAACUGCCUUAGAUUGGGAAGAUGCAAAACUGUGGUCUGGAGUCAGCCCUGCAGAAGCCUGUUUCCUGACUUUCCAUCUUCAAUCUCUUUUCUAUGCAGUUACCAGAGUCACGUUUUGAAAUCUCAGAUCUGAGCAUCUAUCCUCAAAUAGAGGCCUACAUGGCUUCCAGUUCCUCCAGGAGAAGGUCCAAAUCCCUUAAGAUGACUUUAAGGCCCUCAAGUGUUCCAGGCUCUGUACGUUCUUGUGCCACAACUAUGCCACAAUGAAACAGUUUUUCCCCCAUUUCUACUUUGUUUUUCCAGCUGUAGAGUCAAAGCCUCAAGA
RNAcentral lists this long non-coding RNA (2002 nucleotides) under Pan troglodytes (chimpanzee). RNAcentral describes it as "lincRNA". The record is from RNAcentral. Lineage: Eukaryota; Metazoa; Chordata; Mammalia; Primates; Hominidae.